Molecule: long non-coding RNA, 1059 nt
Filed under: Mytilus galloprovincialis (Mediterranean mussel)
Lineage: Eukaryota; Metazoa; Mollusca; Bivalvia; Mytilida; Mytilidae
Source: RNAcentral
AGAAAUACUUAGUUGGUUAGUUAGUGUAGAUAGUGUAAUGAAGGCAUCAGGAGGGACAUUACUGGAUGAAGAAGAUUUGAUUGGAUUAUCGAUGUUUAGAUGAUUAUGUUGAUUUGACAAUUGUUCAAAAAAAUUUCACUUCAUCUGCAUGGUUGUAUUUAUUAUCUAUUGUAAAAGAAAAACAACAAAAGGGUGGAUAUAUUCUUUGUACAUACUGUAAUGUUUUUAUUACUACAGAAAAUGAUGAUGCUGUUGAAUGUGACUUUUGUUUGUUAUGGUGGCAUAUAAGUUGUAUCAAAUUAAAGAGCAAGCCAAAAGUUAAGCAUUGGUAUUGCAAAUCAUGCAGGUAAAACUGAACUUAUGUGUCAAUAUGUAUUUGUAGUUUUUGUUUAACAUGUAUUAGUUAUUAUGUAUAGUUUUCUCAAAUGUUUUGCAAUGAGAUAAACUGGGAUUUUUUUGGAAGUUCAGAAGGUAGAACACCUUGUAUGUAGAUACAUUAUGAUUUUGUUUGUUAUAUGUUUAUUGACUGUGACCUCAUAUUCAUGGUUCAGUGACUGGUUGAAAAAGAUGUAGUUGUUUAUCAUGUGAAAUACUGAUUAUGAGUAAAAGGAUAAAUAUAUUUGGUGUAUGGGAUCCUUGUUAGGUCUACAUGUCUUUCAGACAGGGUUCAUCUUACCUUGACCUCAUUUAUGAACAUGUUGUAAGCAAUGUAUCUGAUAUUUUAAAAUUAGUGAAAAAAUAUUUAAUUAGAGUUAUGCCACUUGGAAAUAAUAAUUUAUUGAAUAUUGCAUUGUAAGCUCUCACCAGCCUGCAUUUUUCUCUGAAUUAAUAUGAAAUUAAAAGAGAUUGUUCAUAUCAAUAAUUAUAUUUUAUUUAAAUGAGUUUUAAAUUCAGUGCCAAUCAACGAUUUAUACAUGAACUUUCAUCACUUCAACAGAUCAAUUAGAGACAUUAGACAUUAGAACAAAGUUCUUUUGUAUUUAUUUAAAGGGAUCCAAUAUCAACUGAUGUUACAGUGAUAUUUUAGCAUUGUUUUAAAUACAGAUAUUUUGUAGUUUU